GCCAGACUCCUACGGGAGGCAGCAGUGGGGAAUAUUGGACAAUGGGGGGAACCCUGAUCCAGCGACGCCGCGUGAGUGAAGAAGUAUUUCGGUAUGUAAAGCUCUAUCAGCAGGGAAGAAAGAAAUGACGGUACCUGACUAAGAAGCCCCGGCUAACUACGUGCCAGCAGCCGCGGUAAUACGUAGGGGGCGAGCGUUAUCCGGAUUCACUGGGUGUAAAGGGAGCGUAGACGGCCAUGCAAGCCAGGGGUGAAAGCCCGGGGCCCAACCCCGGGACUGCCCUUGGAACUGCAUGGCUGGAGUGCGGGAGGGGCAGGCGGAAUUCCUGGUGUAGCGGUGAAAUGCGUAGAUAUUAGGAGGAACACCAGUGGCGAAGGCGGCUUACUGGACUGUAACUGACGUUGAGGCUCGAAGGCGUGGGGAGCAAACAGGAUUAGAUACCCGGGUAAU
RNAcentral lists this ribosomal RNA (450 nucleotides) under uncultured bacterium. RNAcentral's name for it is "bacterial SSU rRNA". It matches the Rfam family "Bacterial small subunit ribosomal RNA", at positions 330 to 794 of the family's 1533-position model. The record is from RNAcentral.